RNAcentral lists this ribosomal RNA (771 nucleotides) under Penicillium sp. ASR-160. RNAcentral's name for it is "SSU rRNA". It matches the Rfam family "Eukaryotic small subunit ribosomal RNA", at positions 244 to 1019 of the family's 1831-position model. Lineage: Eukaryota; Fungi; Ascomycota; Eurotiomycetes; Eurotiales; Aspergillaceae. The record is from RNAcentral.
UGGUGAAUCUUAAUAACUUAACGAAUCGCAUGGCCUUGCGCCGGCGAUGGUUCAUUCAAAUUUCUGCCCUAUCAACUUUCGAUGGUAGGAUAGUGGCCUACCAUGGUGGCAACGGGUAACGGGGAAUUAGGGUUCGAUUCCGGAGAGGGAGCCUGAGAAACGGCUACCACAUCCAAGGAAGGCAGCAGGCGCGCAAAUUACCCAAUCCCGAUACGGGGAGGUAGUGACAAUAAAUACUGAUACGGGGCUCUUUUGGGUCUCGUAAUUGGAAUGAGAACAAUUUAAAUCCCUUAACGAGGAACAAUUGGAGGGGCAAGUCUGGUGCCAGCAGCCGCGGUAAUUCCAGCUCCAAUAGCGUAUAUUAAAGUUGUUGCAGUUAAAAAGCUCGUAGUUGAACCUUGGGUCUGGCUGGCCGGUCCGCCUCACCGCGAGUACUGGUCCGGCUGGACCUUUCCUUCUGGGGAACCCCAUGGCCUUCACUGGCUGUGGGGGGAACCAGGACUUUUACUGUGAAAAAAUUAGAGUGUUCAAAGCAGGCCUUUGCUCGAAUACAUUAGCAUGGAAUAAUAGAAUAGGACGUGCGGUUCUAUUUUGUUGGUUUCUAGGACCGCCGUAAUGAUUAAUAGGGAUAGUCGGGGGCGUCAGUAUUCAGCUGUCAGAGGUGAAAUUCUUGGAUUUGCUGAAGACUAACUACUGCGAAAGCAUUCGCCAAGGAUGUUUUCAUUAAUCAGGGAACGAAAGUUAGGGGAUCGAAGACAAUCAGAUACCGUC